Long non-coding RNA from Rhincodon typus (whale shark), 867 nucleotides. RefSeq lists it as uncharacterized. The transcript is spliced from 3 exons. NCBI's taxonomy places the organism in Eukaryota, Metazoa, Chordata, Chondrichthyes, Orectolobiformes, Rhincodontidae. The record is from RefSeq and is a predicted model, not a curated record.
CUGUGUACGGCUGAGGUACAAAAACAGCAGAGAAAUGAUGUUUAUGUUCUUAAAGUUAAAUUUUUGAAUCAGGGAAAGCAGUGGCUCAGUCCAGCUCUGGAAUGGAAGCGUCCAGAUUGCAGAGAUAAUGAAGGAGGAGCCUGAACAGUUCCUGAAACCACUCGGAGCUGGAAUCCAGACUGAAGCAACGUUUCAAGUCUCAGCAAUUCCAACAGGAAGCAACUCUGGCUGCUGUGGGGAGGAAACCUCUGAGCUACUUCUCACGCCAUUGUUUCUGCAACACUCCUAAGUCACUGCAGUUCCCUUCCAGACAUACAGCCCCCUCCAACAACACUGAGGAAGCUCAUUCAUUCCAGCCGCGUUUUAUUUUAAAGUCACAGGCGCUUCUUCAUGUGCAACAACUUUUCUAAUCGAAUGUAAAGGUGACUGAUUCCCCUGAUGUACACUUUGCUUUCUGGUAAUCCAGUGUUACUGCCCCGCAUGUUAAUGCUCCUACAGUGCCCGGGGAGGCUCUUGUUUGUUAACCUCGGCCAGCCCAGCGCCUCUAUCCAACCCGCACCACUUUACACAAGGGCUGGGAGUCCCAAAAAGAUCCUUUCGACCAGUGGAAUUCGGCUAAUCGUCCAGGGAUCACAGUCUGCUGCUGUAGAUCCUGACAGUAAACACCACCCCUAAAUAAAAGUCUUGGGACUAAAGCAGGCACGAAAGAGAGUCACUGGAGUUGAGAAAGCCAACAACAUUGUACCCUAGUUAGUAAUGAACAUCAACAAUGAACCCAGUACCUUUGUUCUCACUUUUACAGAAUGUAUUGAAAUGACUUGCUUUUGUUUUAACAAUAAGAUGUCUGCUGUAUACCAGGAUUCACUU